Molecule: long non-coding RNA, 2667 nt
Organism: Triticum dicoccoides
Lineage: Eukaryota; Viridiplantae; Streptophyta; Magnoliopsida; Poales; Poaceae
Exons: 4
Source: RefSeq, a predicted model, not a curated record
UAAAUUCUCUCUCUUCCCAUGCAAACACGUCCCUUCCUCUCUUCUUUCUCUCUCUCCCCCAUAUCUCUCUCUCCCGUAUCUUCCUCUCUCUGCGUUCUCUCUUCCAUGGAAAAGAUUGCGCCGGCGCUAGCUUCCUCUCUCUAUUCUCUCUCCCAUGGACAAAGAAACCAUCGUCUCUCUCCGAACUGAAGCAAGCGAGUUUCCGGGGGGAUGGAUCCAAAGUUGCUUUCACAUCUGGAUCUGAUUCACCUCAAAAAGAAAACGAAAAUCAUCUGGAUCAGAUUGGCGAUGCGUCUGGCCAAUUUUUUCUCUCUACCAUGGAGAAAGAAACCAUCGUCUCUCUCCGAACUGAAGCAAGCGAGUUUGCGGGGGGAUGGAUCCAUAAUUGCUUUCCACAUCUAGAUCUGAUUCACCUCAAAAAGAAAAAAAUUCAUCUGGAUCAGUUUAGGGUCUACAACAACGGCGUGUGAUAUGCUUAAUGCAAGAGGUGUAAGCAGCAUGCAGGAGAUAUAUAACGUCAUUUGGAAAGAUAAAACAUGUUGACACCAAGCGUACUACUGAUGAAAGCACAUCUGGAAAUUUAAUCUGUUCAUGAUACAAAAAGGUUAUGUCUUCAUGGCAUAAAAUUGUAAGGUAACACUUCAUUGAUUUUUUCAUCCAGUUGAAGGUAAGAAGAUGCUUAUUUUCUUGCGUACAAGAGUAAAAGUUCUAAAAUAUAUCCUAAUAGAAGAACAAAGCUUCACAUUUCCUAGCAUCAAUGUUAUUUCCAUAGGAUGUGGCUAGAAGAUUUACUUAUCAGGUAGGUAUGAAUAUUUGUUGAAAUUAUUAAUUCGAUGUUUUUUGCAUCUUAACACCCAUUUAUUUAGCAUAUGUCCUUGGUGUAGCAACUUACAUCAGAAUUACGAAGGAAACACAGACAACUCAUGGAAUUUCGAAGGUCUGGAGAUAUUUCACUUUCAAGUUGAGCGACUAUAAUGGAAGAAGUAAAAUAAGUACAAUUACGAUGGUUGAUAAUCGAAACGAUUGUGUGUACGAGCUGCUUCAACGUCUAAUUUGUGUACGAUGCAAAAUAUGAUGCUUUGCUACACUUCUGUUCAUGGCACCAACUAUUUGAUUUGGCGAGUCAUAUAUAAAAACCGGCCAAGUAGUGUCGUACUUCCAGCACAGUUUCUUGGAAAUUGCUAGGACUCUUGGAAUAUACAUUGAUUAAAAAUAAAUAAGGUUACUAUAAGGUGAGAAGGUCAACCAAUCAACAUUCCGCCUAUCGUGUUGUCAUAGUAAUAGCAACAACUGUCAGAAAAUUGACAUGUUUGUAUUUCUUUUGAUAGCAAAUAAGUGUUCCUCCGUGUUCAUUUAUUGUAUUUACAAAAUUUAAUAUCAAGUUCAUCCAGAGUACUUGCUGUCAUCCACAUGUGAGACCAAAGUUUAUGUCAUUUUGAAUAUCCCCGAAACAGUUGAGCUCCAAAUGUGGUGCAAUAGCGUUUCUGCAAUUAUAUAAAUAAAAGUAGUCUAUCAUGCGCGUGAAUGUUUCCCUGUACAUGCAAAAAUAGGCUUUGCUCUCAAGAUGAUAUUGUAUAUGAAAUAGAGCUAGAAUAUUUCUUUUAUAUAUCUCAUGUACUAAAUUAACCUACAAUUGGCAUAAAAUGUUUUAUACUGCAGAAGCAACAAUAAUGAAUCAAUUAGUACAUCAGAUGGGUGGUACUAUACAUGGUAACCACUUCUACAUUCACAGGUAUAAACUUGAGCUAUAAAUAUGUGAUUUUAUGGGAACAUCAACUUGCACCAUAUGUUUUAGACAUAAGAAAAAAGAUUGGUGAUGCAAUCUGCAAGAUUCUUGAUGUAGAUACAUAUAAGUGUGAUAUCCAUGGGAGGACAAAAUAAAUCCAGGAAGUAUGUGGACAGAGAUUCACAUAUCAGUUCACAUUUGAUAUCUAUAACACUGUGUAUGGAAUAUUUUUCAUAGGUUCUGAAACGGAUUUGUCAAUAUACUACAUGCGGACAAAGUUUGUAAACCAUAACUAGAAUAGAAAGUGGCUUACUGGACCGGGGAGAUGGAAGAGGUCAAAAGAAAAAUUGGAAAAUGUAUCCUUUUUCUAUUAUGAUGCUACAUGCUUUUUAUUACUUAUGUUAUAUUUGUAACCAUUAUAUUUGUGGUAAUUAGCACAAUUUUGCUCAUGUUUUUGUAGAGGCAUGCAUGUUGGCAAUGAUAAACUAAUUGUGAAGAACAAAAAAAAUUCUCGAACCAAGAACACAUGUAGUGUUGGAUAUUUCUACAGUAGUGAGGAUAAAGAUGAAUCCAUAUUUAAGGAAUUAAACCUAAGAGAAAUCUUACAAUAGCUCGCAUAUGUGCCGCAUUGACUAUACUUAUGUUGCAGAUUCAUAAAAGGAAGGGAAAGUUAUUUGAACACCAACCAAAGCGUACUAUCACGAAUAAAAUGAGUUCAAAAGUAUAACCAUGUAAGCUUUUCUGGUGCAGUCGCAUGUUCUUGCAGAUAAAUUUUCAUAGCAGUGUUGAUAAAGAAUUGGCUACCAAGAAUUUCAGAAGGUUGGAGCAUCAAGACCUCGAAAGACAAGUGGCAUGUUGAUGGAUAUUUGAUAAAAACUAGGAUGUAGUCGAAUAAAUGGGAGCAUUAAUUUUGUACUUUACAUUUAUACUUCGAUGGUAAU